This 241-nucleotide ribosomal RNA is filed under the name uncultured bacterium. Its description in RNAcentral is "partial 16S ribosomal RNA". It matches the Rfam family "Bacterial small subunit ribosomal RNA", at positions 92 to 334 of the family's 1533-position model. The record is from RNAcentral.
CGACCGGCGCACGGGUGAGUAACGCGUAUGCAACCUGCCCGAUACCGGGGUAUAGCCCAUGGAAACGUGGAUUAACACCCCAUAGUACUUUUAUCCUGCAUGGGAUGUGAGUUAAAUGUUCAAGGUAUCGGAUGGGCAUGCGUCCUAUUAGUUAGUUGGCGGGGCAACAGCCCACCAAGACGAUGAUAGGUAGGGGUUCUGAGAGGAAGGUCCCCCACAUUGGAACUGAGACACGGUCCAA